UACGUAGGUGGCGAGCGUUGUCCGGAAUUACUGGGUGUAAAGGGCGUGUAGACGGGCUUGUAAGUCAGGUGUGAAAUACCGCAGCUUAACUGCGGGGCUGCACUUGAAACUACGAGUCUUGAGUGCGGGAGAGGGAAGCGGAAUUCCUAGUGUAGCGGUGAAAUGCGUAGAUAUUAGGAGGAACACCAGUGGCGAAGGCGGCUUCCUGGACCGUAGCUGACGUUGAGGCGCGAAAGCGUGGGGAGCAAACAGGAUUAGAUACCCUGGUAGUCCCU
RNAcentral lists this ribosomal RNA (275 nucleotides) under uncultured prokaryote. RNAcentral's name for it is "partial 16S ribosomal RNA". It matches the Rfam family "Bacterial small subunit ribosomal RNA", at positions 524 to 798 of the family's 1533-position model. The record is from RNAcentral.